AUUGAACGCUGGCGGCAGGCUUAACACAUGCAAGUCGAGCGGGGUGAUGGUGCUUGCACUAUCACUUAGCGGCGGACGGGUGAGUAAUGCUUAGGAAUCUGCCUAUUAGUGGGGGACAACAUCUCGAAAGGGAUGCUAAUACCGCAUACGUCCUACGGGAGAAAGCAGGGGAUCACUUGUGACCUUGCGCUAAUAGAUGAGCCUAAGUCGGAUUAGCUAGUUGGUGGGGUAAAGGGCUACCAAGGCGACGAUCUGUAGCGGGUCUGAGAGGAUGAGCGGCCACACUGGGACUGAGACACGGCCCAGAGUCCUACGGGAGGCAGCAGUGGGGAAGAUUGGACAAUGGGGGGAGCCCUGAUCCAUGCAUGCGGCGUUUGUGAAGAAGGCCUUAUGGUUGUAAAGCACUUUAAGCGAGGAGGAGGCUCUUUUGGUUAAUACCCAAGAUGAGUGGACGUUACUCGCAGAAUAAGCACCGGCUAACUCUGUGCCAGCAGCCGCCGCCG
RNAcentral lists this ribosomal RNA (503 nucleotides) under uncultured bacterium. RNAcentral's name for it is "partial 16S ribosomal RNA". It matches the Rfam family "Bacterial small subunit ribosomal RNA", at positions 30 to 523 of the family's 1533-position model. The record is from RNAcentral.